CCAGUUGGUCGGAUGGCCGCCCUUGCCUUAGUUGGCAGGGGAGGAAAGUCCGGACUUCACGGAAAUACGGUGCCGGGUAAUCCCCGGGCAGGGUAACCUGACGGAAAGUGCAACAGAAAACAAACCGCCGAACCUUCGGGCUUCGGUAAGGAUGAAACGGUGCGGUAAGAGCGCACCACUCGUCUGGUAACAGACAGGUAUGGCAAACCCCACCGGAAGCAAGACCAAAUAGGGAUCGCGCUGUAUCGAUUUCCAGAUCUGCGGUUCGGGUUGGUCGCUAGAGGCAAAUGGAAACAUUUGUCCCAGAGGAAUGGUCAUCGCCCGCAAGGGUACAGAAUCCGGCUUAUAGACCAACUGGCAAU
This 362-nucleotide RNase P RNA is filed under the name Alphaproteobacteria bacterium. RNAcentral describes it as "RNase P RNA component class A". It matches the Rfam family "Bacterial RNase P class A". From Rfam's summary of the family: Ribonuclease P (RNase P) is a ubiquitous endoribonuclease, found in archaea, bacteria and eukarya as well as chloroplasts and mitochondria. Its best characterised activity is the generation of mature 5'-ends of tRNAs by cleaving the 5'-leader elements of precursor-tRNAs. Lineage: Bacteria; Pseudomonadati; Pseudomonadota; Alphaproteobacteria. The record is from RNAcentral.